This 30-nucleotide small RNA is filed under the name Bombyx mori (domestic silkworm). Its description in RNAcentral is "ovarian small RNA-31965". The record is from RNAcentral. Lineage: Eukaryota; Metazoa; Arthropoda; Insecta; Lepidoptera; Bombycidae.
UGACUGCCGCGAAUACUCCCACAGGCACGC